UCGGAGGCGGGAGACCUCUCGUAAACCAUAACAUCAAAGAGAAGCAGCGAAGACGAAGGAACGAGGUUACCGCUUGAAUACUCUUCUCCAUUUGAAUUCUCAAGUUCAUUCUCCAGUCUCGAGUUCUCUGCUUUCAUGGAGUUACAGCAGGAGCAAACACGGUCGGAAUCCAUAGAAGAUUCUUUGAAGCUCUUGAAGGACGAGCAGCGUCUCGCUGGCCUUUUCUUAGUCACUAAAAUUUGCGAGGUGGACGAUCGUGCCUCGCUUACUAGAGUUUACUAUGCUGUUGGAGCGAAGUUUCUUGAUCGGCUUCUCAGGACUGGUAUGUUCCUUAACACUUUGGUAUCCGCGGUAAACUUGCACAUAUAUGUUCUCAAAAUAGCGUUUAAAACUUCUAGGCAUUGGUAAGGAAUUAUUAGUUGACCUGGAGAGGAGAAUUGCGAUGUGUAUUUGUAGCUGUAUGUUAGGAUUUUGGCUUGGCUGCGUUUUUUCAUGUUCCUGAGUUUUCUGGAGAUCGUCUCGAAGAUUCCGCUGAUACUAGAGGCCUAAUCCAGCCAAUGCGUCGGCUAUCCGUAUACUUUCUCUUGGUUGCAUUUCUACAUCAGUCAGUUGAUUAUUGACGAUAAACAGAACAAUGAGUUAUCCUCCUUAUUCCUUUGACUAUUGAUGUUCUGUUGAGGAAAUGCAUUAGAUUGAUCAUAAGGCACGACAUCAGAUUUGCAAGAUAGUUAUUUACUUCAUUGUCCCGAAUUAAUCAUGAAUUCACUUCUGCUCUGGUGAUUGAGGUUCUUAACAUUAGGAAAUAAUUGAUUAAAUCGUGGAUAGGAUUUUCCAGAGAGUUAUAUGCAUUAUGCUUUCUUUUCUGGCCUCCUUAAUCGAUGUUGCUUUUAUUGUUCAUCUAGGUCAGGAUCUUCCGUUUUGGAGGAGUGUUUUGAAUUUUUAUAUCUUGUAUCAACUACUUCUGUUGUUGGAGUCUCGAUUCUAUAUAAAUCUGGAAGUUGAAAUUAAUGGUGCUAACAGUAAAGAUUACUUGCGUAGUUUCUUGACUAAUGCAUCAAUUGUAGGUUGAUUUAUCCAGUUGGACAUUCUUUUUGGUUUUAAUUUUCUUUCACUAAUUGCAGAAUUUUCUGCCAUGUUAGUUCUUGGUUUUUUCAUAAUUACAGAUUGUUAUUGUUUGGCUGAUGUGUUAUAUGUUUCAGACACCACGUUAAAAUGUCUUUUGUGUCUAGUGCCCUCCAAUGUUUGGUCCAAACAUAUGCGUGAUGGAAUUUCAGCUAUCCUUCACGCAUUUUCUUCAGGCUCUUAGUUUGGCUGUCUAUGGUAUCUAUUCUAGGAGAAGUUUGGCUGAUAGGCGAAAUUGAAUUACCUGAUGUUCGAGAUCCUAUUCCAUCCGACAGUCAAGAGCUGAGAUCGGUAUGGUGCUGAAUGAACUGGCCUAUAUGAAAUAUGAUGCUUGAAAGAAUUUCUCCUUGAAGGAGAGUGUUAUCUUAAAGAAGCGGAAUGUGGCUACUGCCUUCUUUUUGGUGGAAAAGAUAAUUAAGUCGAUAUCAAAUGUUCGUGAAGAUCAAGCUAUCUUGCGCAAACCCCCGAUGCAUGGACAGAAAAAGUGAAGCAACUCUUAGACUAUAUGCUCUCUGUAGAAAGUGAAGAUGAACAGAGCCCCUUCAACUCUGAUCGCUUCUUGCUUCCCAUGCUAUGUCAAAUAACAAUGAAUGUUGAAGGAUGUAAAACUUAUGUUUCUUCUAGAGAUCUUGCAGCUGUUGUGAAUUGGAAAUGCCUUAUAAAUUGAUCACAAGCAUAUGGUGGCUUGAUUGACGACAUUUGGAUCCAUCGUCUUGGCUUCUGAAGGAACUAGCUGAGCAUCUAUGUGGCGAAUCAUCUUUUGUUAGCCUUUUGGCAGCAGUUGCCAAAUUCGACUGUUAUGCCGACUCUUGUCAAGAAUCUUCACCGUCCCAACAGUUCAAUUUCAGCAUAUUCUCG
Long non-coding RNA from Cucurbita maxima (winter squash), 1980 nucleotides. RefSeq lists it as uncharacterized. The record is from RefSeq and is a predicted model, not a curated record. Lineage: Eukaryota; Viridiplantae; Streptophyta; Magnoliopsida; Cucurbitales; Cucurbitaceae. The transcript has 9 exons.